AGUGAACGCUGGCGGUAGGCCUAACACAUGCAAGUCGAACGGCAGCACAGUAAGAGCUUGCUCUUACGGGUGGCGAGUGGCGGACGGGUGAGGAAUACAUCGGAAUCUACUUUUUCGUGGGGGAUAACGUAGGGAAACUUACGCUAAUACCGCAUACGACCUACGGGUGAAAGCAGGGGAUCUUCGGACCUUGCGCGAUUGAAUGAGCCGAUGUCGGAUUAGCUAGUUGGCGGGGUAAAGGCCCACCAAGGCGACGAUCCGUAGCUGGUCUGAGAGGAUGAUCAGCCACACUGGAACUGAGACACGGUGCAGACUCCUACGGGAGGCAGCAGUGGGGAAUAUUGGACAAGGGGCGCAAGCCUGAUCCAGCCAUACCGCGUGGGCGAAGAAGGCCUUCGGGUUGUAAAGCCCUUUUGUUGGGAAAGAAAAGCAGCAGGUUAAUACCCCGCUGUUCUGACGGUACCCAAAGAAUAAGCACCGGCUAACUUCGUG
This 492-nucleotide ribosomal RNA is filed under the name uncultured bacterium. RNAcentral's name for it is "partial 16S ribosomal RNA". It matches the Rfam family "Bacterial small subunit ribosomal RNA", at positions 29 to 507 of the family's 1533-position model. The record is from RNAcentral.